CGGGCGGGCAGGCCUAAUAAUGCAGUCGAACGAGAUUCAGGAGCUUGCUCCUCAUGAAAGUGGCGCACGGGUGCGUAACACGUAUGCAACCUACCUUCAAUUGGGGGAUAGCCUUCCGAAAGGGAGAUUAAUACCGCAUAAGAUAUUAGAAUGGCAUCAUUCAGAUAUUAAAACUUUGGUGAUUGAAGAUGGGCAUGCGUUGCAUUAGCUAGUUGGUAAGGUAACGGCUUACCAAGGCUACGAUGCAUAGGGGAUCUGAGAGGAUGGUCCCCCACACUGGUACUGAGAUACGGACCAGACUCCUACGGGAGGCAGCAGUAAGGAAUAUUGGUCAAUGGAGGGAACUCUGAACCAGCCAUGCCGCGUGCAGGACGACGGCCCUAUGGGUUGUAAACUGCUUUUGUCAGGGAAUAAAUCAUUUUACGUGUAGAAUGUUGAAGGUACCUGAAGAAUAAGGAUCGGCUAACUCCGUGCCAGCAGCCGCGGUAAUACGGAGGAUCCAAGCGUUAUCCGGAUUUAUUGGGUUUAAAGGGUGCGUAGGCGGUAAAUUAAGUCAGAGGUGAAAGCCUGCAGCUCAACUGUAGAACUGCCUUUGAUACUGGUUUACUUGAGUACAGAUGAAGUGGGCGGAAUGUGACAAGUAGCGGUGAAAUGCAUAGAUAUGUCACAGAACACCGAUUGCGAAGGCAGCUCACUAAAGUGUAACUGACGCUGAGGCACGAAAGCGUGGGGAUCAAACAGGAUUAGAUACCCUGGUAGUCCACGCCCUAAACGAUGAUUACUCGCUGCCGGCGAUAUACAGUCGGCGGCUAAGCGAAAGCGUUAAGUAAUCCACCUGGGGAGUACGGUCGCAGAUUGAAACUCAAAGGAAUUGACGGGGGCCCGCACAAGCGGAGGAGCAUGUGGUUUAAUUCGAUGAUACGCGAGGAACCUUACCCGGGCUUGAAAGUUAGUGAAUGAUUUAGAAAUAGAUCAGUGAGCAUCACACGAAACUAGGUGCUGCAUGGCUGUCGUCAGCUCGUGCCGUGAGUGUUGGGUUAAGUCCCGCAACGAGCGCAA
Molecule: ribosomal RNA, 1059 nt
Filed under: bacterium
Lineage: Bacteria
Description: bacterial SSU rRNA
Rfam family: Bacterial small subunit ribosomal RNA
Source: RNAcentral